UUUUCCAGUAGGCUUAUCUGCUAUAUAGUCCUAACUAUUUCUGAUAACCUGGCUUAUAAAUCCAAACUGCGGGUUCCCUCCAAAAGUAUUCAUAUUUUCUGGUUUUCCUCUUUUUCCUCUUGAGAAAGGACAAUCUCUGCUGUAAUGCCCCUCCUGGUGGCAUGAGUAACAUGUAUUUACUUGGUAACUGCUGUUUGCAUGUAAUUGUCUUCUUAAUGUCUUCAAAAUUAUCAGUCUAUGCCCGUUUUAAAUUCUGCAUUAGUGACAUAUUGGGUUGGACUCUCUGUCCUACAUACAUCGAAGUCUUCCGUUU
This 313-nucleotide long non-coding RNA is filed under the name Mytilus galloprovincialis (Mediterranean mussel). The record is from RNAcentral. Lineage: Eukaryota; Metazoa; Mollusca; Bivalvia; Mytilida; Mytilidae.